GCUUGUCUCAAAGAUUAAGCCAUGCAUGUCUUAGUGUAAAUAACUCUUAUGAAACUGCGAAUGGCUCAUUAAAUCAGUUAUAGUUUAUUUGAUGGUACUUACUUACUCGGAUAACCGUAGUAAUUCUAGAGCUAAUACGUGCGUAAAUCCCGACUUCUGGAAGGGACGUAUUUAUUAGAUAAAAGGCCGACCGGGCUCUGCCCGACUCGCGGUGAAUCAUGAUAACUUCACGAAUCGCACGGCCUCGUGCCGGCGAUGUUUCAUUCAAAUUUCUGCCCUAUCAAUUGGCGAUGGUAGGAUAGAGGCCUACCAUGGUGUUAACGGGUGACGGGGGAUUAGGGUUCGAUUCCGGAGAGGCAGCCUGAGAAACGGCUACCACAUCCAAGGAAGGCAGCAGG
Molecule: ribosomal RNA, 398 nt
Filed under: Chloroparva pannonica
Lineage: Eukaryota; Viridiplantae; Chlorophyta; Trebouxiophyceae; Chlorellales; Chlorellaceae
Description: partial small subunit ribosomal RNA
Rfam family: Eukaryotic small subunit ribosomal RNA
Source: RNAcentral